UAGACAAGUUCAACGUAUAUUAAGACAGAUUUUUCAAUCAUAACGAAUAGACCAGAAACAUGUACAAUUAAAAAUAUACAUGCAUGGGUAGAUUUUAGGAAUAGUUAUAUUAAAGCUAAUUGAGUCAUUUUCCACAAGUUACUUUUACAUUAUCAUGGUGGGUACAGUGUUAUAGAAGAACAUGCUUCAGUAGUGCCACAUGGUAAUCAAAAGGAUAUAUAUACAUAUAAUAUUAACUCCAGUUUGAGUGAUAACUUCUAAAGCAUCAAGAGAAGACAUCAUAUCACUAUUGCGACUCAAACUUGCAGUGGUUGGAGAAUUUUCAGCAGCGGCAUUAUAUUCCUAAUGGACAAGAAGAAGAUGGGAGAUAUUAUAUUGUGUUCAUGAGAUGGUUUUAGUGACUGCUUGAAAUUUGCAUAAUAUAUCUAUGUGUUCUCAACCUAUGGAAGGCUCAUAGGCAUAGCUAAAUUCUCAAGAUGAUGUAAUCUUACAAUUGUAGCAAAGUAGCAAAGUUAUAGGUAGAAACAAGAUCAAAUAAGUAGUCUUCUCAUUAAAGGUUCAUGUUGAUUUUUUAACAAAGGCAGUGUUUAUUUAUCUCAUUAAUAGUACUACUUACAAAUAUAAUAUUGGGGGUAGUGCUGAAAUGAGAUGGGUUUAAGGUGCAAAAUACUUUUCAAAAUUUUAAUUAACUAAUUUUUAAAAAGAUUUAAUUAUAAUUAUUAAUUAAUUAUGUAAAAAUAUUAAAUAAUAAAUCAUCCUAAUCAUCAUUAAAAAUAGAUUAUCCUAGUCAGUGAUUCGACGUAAUUAAAAAUAAUUUUUAAAUCCUAAUCAUCACUACCACUUAUACAAAAGUAGAUGGGGCCACAAAAAUCUAAAAAGCAUCAAAAUUGAGGGAUCAAAAUAGCCGGUUUUAUAAUAAGAGGAUCGAUUAUUUAAAACGUUCAAACUAGGGGGACCAAAAGUGCAUUUAAGCCAAAAUAUAUGAAAGUUUUAGUGAUUAAUCUAUGGAUUGAAGCAAACUUUUAAAAGUUGAAAACUUUAUUUUGAUGAAAAUGCAAGGUAAUUUGGAUUCAUUAAAAAUGAAUAUGAACAUUGUGUUUACAAGAAAUUUUAUGAGAGCAUAACAAUAAUUUUGGUGUUAUAUGUGGAUGACAUCUUACUCAUCAGAAGUGGCAUCCCUACCUUGCAAUAAGUUAAAACUUGGUUGGAAAAUUUAUUUUCUAUGAAAGAUUUAGGUGAAUCUACAAUUAUAUUAGGAAUAAGCAUCUAUAUAGUUAUAUCUCAAAGUUUGUUUGCCCUAAGUUAGAGUACAUACACUGGCAAAAGAUUGAGAUGAUUUAAUAUGCACGAUUCCAUUAAAUUUUUCAUGACUACGUCACAUGGUGUGUGUCUGUUAAAAGAAAAAUCCACUGCAACAAAAGAAGAAAUGUAUUGCAUGAAUAAGAUUCCAUAUGCAACUGCAAUUGGAUCUGCCAUGUAUGUCAUAUUGUGCGCUCAACCAGAUAUCUUGUAUGCUUUGAAUACAACGAGAAGGUACUCAUGUGAUCUCAGUGGUAUUCAUUGGGUUGUUGUCAAGAAUAUCCUUAUGUACUUGAGAAGAAAUAAGGAUGCAUUAUUGGUAUAUGGAGGUUAUAAAGAGUUUGGUAUAACAUGUUACAUUGAUGCUAGAUUUCGAACAUAAGGAUGACUCCCAAUCGCAAUUUGAUUAUGUGUUUUGGCUAAAUGGUGGCCCUAUGAGUUGGGAGAGAUCAAAGCAGAAACCGUUUGUUAAUUCUACCGUAGAGGUUAGUUUAUUUUCAUUUCAAAUGUACCAAAAAUUUGUUUGGAUCAAGAAGUUUAUUACUAAACUUGGUACAACUCCUAGCAUUAUGGUUCCUAUUGAUCUAUAUUAUAGUAAAUAAAUGUCACCAUUCUGUAAUCUAAACAGCCUAGAUUUCACCAGCAGUCCAAACACAUACUUAGGUGUUAUGACUUCAUUAAGGAGAAUAUGUGAAGAUAUUAAAAGUACCAAUACUUGACAAUGUUCUAACUCAUUCACAAAGUCGUUUACUCAAUAGAAGCAUGAUGGGCAUACUAGAUUUAUGGGUAUUAGUUAUAUGUUUGAUUGACUCUAGUGAUAUAAGUAGAUUAUUGGUGUAAGCCGUAUAUUUCAAUGGUUUUAUGGUUGAAUUUAAAAUUUAUAUCAUGUUAAUUAUUAAUAAUAAAAAGACUUUUAUUUAUUAUGUUUGUUUUAAAAGUAAUAAAGUCCUUGGAAUAUUUGAUCUAUUUAAUGGAGAAUUAAGUGUGACUUAAACGCGUGACACCAUUAAAUAUAAGGAUGUCACUCUUAAAGCAUCCAUAGUCAAGCCUUACAUGCAAAUUGGACAAUAACAAUUCAUAUAAUGAUGACCAUAUCUCACAAGUCAAGGAUAUGAUAUAUCAAGUCUUUAGGUAGGUAUAAAUAUUAGGAGUAAUAUUUAAACUGGAACGGACUUUCAUGAGAAUCAUAUAUGGUAUGUUAUAUAUGUGUCAUAAGUUAUUCUCACAGUAAUAAUGGUUUAUUCCACCCUUUGGCUUGAAAGCAUUAUGGUCCAUGUUGAACAAGUGACUUCAAGCACAAGAGGGUGUGAAUUGUGAUAUUUAAAAUUUGUGAUUAAUUUUAAACCUUUCUCGACUAACACCGUGUUAGUAAUUUCAAGUGAGUAAUUUGUAGUAGAUAUAUAGUCCUAAAAGUAAAUUGCGGAAAGUAAAAGGAUAGGGUUAGAAAUAUUGCCCCGGAGAUUUAUACAGGUAUGGUCGAACGUUGGCCUAGUCUCAUCCCCAAGAGGCCUUCUAGAGAGUUAUGACUAUAAACUUUUGAGGUUUUCAAGAAUAUGACCACGAACUUUGAGACAAUAUGACCUAUAGAUUUAGACAGGCUUAUCCCCAACCAAUGACAGCUUUUACCCCAGGAUAAGCUAAUGAACCGUUUAGAUACUUAUGGCUUAUCUCAAUAACAAGAAUAAAGCUUUUUCCGGCAAAGCUUAAGAACUCAAAUUCAAAUAUUUUAUGACAUGUUUAUCUCAAGAACCAAACUCAAUCUCUUAGGAGUAUCACACUCUUAAAAAUAUAAAUGACCAGCAUAAUCACUUACAAAAAGGCGCCUUUAAUUUUUAUAGUUUUUAUGUCGGACAUGUUCCCUCGAUUUUUAAGAAAGCCGAGAUAAAAACUCUCUAAAAAAAUUUGUAUUCCUUUAGUUUUAAUGUUAAUGUUAAGUCUCAUUCACUUUUUGUGUCCUAGCUAGCGAACGAUACUGAAACAUUAUUCUUCUCCAGCGAAUAAAAUUGAAACACCAUUAUUCUCCAAGGAGGAAGGAAUCUCAAACCUCAAACCAACACUUUUCUUUUAGUCUCAUCACAUUUAUGGUAUGUACAAAUUAUCCAUUAUUGGUGUGAUUGUUUGUUGUUGUUGUUGUUAUUGUUAUUUCUGUCAUCUUUGUUGUUGUUGUUGUUGGUAUUAUGGUCGUCGUUGAUGUUGUUGCCUCGUCCCCAAGAGGCCUUCUAGAGAGUUAUGACUAUAAACUUUUGAGAUUUUCAAGGAUAUGCCCACGAACUCUGAGACAAUAUGACCUAUAUAUUUUUACAGGCUUAUCCCCAAUCAAUUACAGCUUUUACCCCAGGAUAAGCUAAUGAACCGUUUAGAUACUUAUGGCUUAUCUCAAUAACAAAAAUAAAUUUUUUUCGGGCAAAGCUUAAGAACUCAAAUUCAAAUAUUUUAUAACAUGUUUAUCUCAAGAACCAAACUCAAUCUCUUAAGAGUAUCACACUCUUAAAAAUAUAAACGACCAGCACAAUCACUUACAAAAAGGCGCCUUUAAUUUUUAUAGUUUUUAUGUCAGACAUGUUCCCUCGGUUUUUAAGAAAACCGAGAUAAAAACUCUCUAAACAAUUUUGUAUUCCUUUAGUUUUAAUGUUAAUGUUAAGUCUCAUUCACUUUUUACGUUCUAGCUAGCGAACGAUACUGAAACACUAUUCUUCUCCAGCGAACGAAAUUGAAACACCAUUAUUCUCUAAGGAGGAAGGAAGAUCAAACCACAAACCAACACUUUUCUUUGUGUCUCAUCACAUUUCUGGUAUGUACAAAUUAUCCACUAUUGUUGUUGUUGUUUGUUGUUGUUGUUGUUGUUUCUGUCAUUUUCGUUGUUGUUGUUAUUGGCAUUAUGGCCGUCGUUGAUGUUGUUGCCUCGUUAUUGUUGUUGCGUUUAUGGUUUUUGAGACUUAUACGAUUCAUUUUUGUUGGUUGUGUACUAUUCUUAUUUUAUUUUCAGAAGUUGAAUGUGAUUACGGAUCAUAGUUGGAUGAAAUCCAGUAGAUUAAGUAAAGAGCAUGAGAAUGGAGUACUCACUUUCUUGAAUUCACAAGGAAAAAAACCUUCUUGACGAUAAUGGGAUUUUUUGGUGUCCUUGUAAAAUUUGUGGAAAUACACAAAAACAUCCAAGUGUUGUUAUAUUCAAUCAUUUAGGUUAUGAUGGAAUUAUUCAAAAUUACACGAGAUGGUUAUGGCAUGGGGAAGUGACAAAAAAGACCUUUGUCACAUAUAGUUGAAGAUGAUGAUGAAUUUAUGAAUGAUACUCUAGAAGACAUGAUUUGUGAUAUUAUAGUAGAUGCUUUCAAGAAAGCUAUUAUGGUAGAUACUUUGCAAAUAGACAUGGAAGAGUCAUUGUAUCUGGGAUGCGAAAGUUUUAUAAGAUUGUCAAAUGUGUUAAGACUAAUUAAUCUUAAGGCAAGAGGUGGGUGGACGAAUAUAAGUUUCACUGAAUUUCUUGAAUUGUUGAAAGAAAUGCUUCCAGAAGGUAACAUGUUGUUGAAUCGUAGUUAUAAGACCAAAAAGAUAUUGUGUCCAAUGGGUUUGACUAUGAAAAAAUACAUGCAUGUCGUAAUGAUUGCAUAUUAUACAGGAAAUAGUAUGAAAACUUGAAGGAGUGCCCGAGAUGUGGGGAGUCAUGCUAUAAGCAGAAGAAAAAUAAUGUUGAAGACAAUGACAGUAUAACUAGAAAGGGUGUUCCUUCCAAGGUGAUGUGGUACCUACUGAUAAUUCAAAGGUUCAAGAUAUUGUUACUAAGGUAAAUAAAGGAAAGAAUACUAGAUGGAACACAGAUGAAAGAGUGUUAAUGGGAACAUUCGCCAUGUAGCUGAUUCAUUACAAUUGAAGAAAAUUGAUUCCCUGUUUCCAGAUUUUCCCUUGAACUGAGGGACCUUAGGCUUGGACUUUCCACUGUUAGAACGAACCCUUUUUGGUAAUUUGAAUACUAGCCAUACGUUAUUGCCUAUUCUUAUCAUAAUUUAUAACCUAUCUCCAUGGUUGUACAUGAAGCUUAAAUAUAUGAUGUUAUCAAUGAUGGUUCUUGGUCCAAAACAACCAGGAAAUGACAUAGAUGUUUAUUUAACACCAUUGAUUUAAGAUUUAAUACUUUUAUGGGAGGAAUGCAUUGAUAUUGAUGAGGCGUAUACAUGAGAAAACUUUAAAUUGUGUACCAUGUUAUUUUUCAUAAUCAAUGACUUUCCUGCAUACGGUAAUUUUUCUGGGUACAACGUCAAGAGACAUAAAGCAUGUCAGAUAUGUGACUUUGGUACAUGCCACCACCAAUUACAAAAUGGAAAAAAUAUUAUUUAUCUUGGGCAUCGAAAAUCUUUAAGAUCGAAGCUAGAAAUGUCAAUUCCUUGAGCUUCUAGAUCCUAAAGGUAGCAGACGAUGACCUCUGGGGGAUCGAUCUUAGAGAAGAGGUACAUACCAUCUAAUAACUCCUUGUGAUCCUUCAGAGCUUCCUAGGAGGUGUCCUUUGUGGGUUUGACUAUGACCUUGUCUAUUAUGCCCAUGCUCCUUAUAUUCUUCGCGUUCAGAGGCUUCCCCACGUCCAUAGUAACAUAUUUCAUCAUAUUCGGAGAUAUGAGAUGGUCCACCAGACCACUCUCAAUCAGCACGUCAAAAAUUAAUCUUCCUAGAGGUAUGUAAUUUUUGGGCUUCAUGUUAUUUCUAGUGUCUCUGACGGAAUCCCUCAGAUACUUGAAGAGGAGGGAGAGAAGAUUCAGCUUCAGCCCUUUGUGCAGAUAGUACAUAGUGCAAUUCUGGUUCGUGUUGAUGUAGUCAGAGGAGCUGGAAGCGGGAUGAUGAUGGAUUGUUUCCAUAAUGUUCUUCAACCAAACUCUCAGAUUUUGGUGAAGUUCUUUGUUCUUUGAGGUUCUCCCUUCUGGGUUCUGAGAGAAAAUAGUAGGGAUAAUUUCCCGGGACAUGUACUUUUCCCUAGGGUUAAUGUUGUAUAUCCUUCUUCCCCUAGCUUUUUCCAUGUCCAGAAGCUUGGCAAUUGAUUUCUCUAUGAUCACUGUCUUGAUGCCCAGGACAUAAGACACGGUGAAUCUUCAGAAUUCCUUCACCAGGAAGAUGUAAACGGGUCCAUAGAGACGUUUAAAGUACUUUUUCCACCCUUGAUUUUCCAGCUCUUCAGUUAAAUUUAUGCCAUUUUUCUUGAGGUUAUCAAAAUCAACCAAAAGUUCACAUAGUACUUCCAGUUUUUCAAAUGGUGUGGCAAGAUUGAUGUGAGGAGGACGAUCAAGAACAUGAGGUUCUUGAUAUGUGGUUGUUAAAGGCUUAGCAGUUUGGGUUAUAACUUGUUGUGGAGCUUCAAUAUUUUGCUCAACAACAUUUAUUUCUUGUGAGUAUUUGAACACUUGUUGUUGAGGAUUCAUGUUGUUGUUUGUUGAAGGAGAUGAAGUUGCAAAUAGGUUGAAGUUGCAGGGAAUUUGAAAGCAAGGAUUUAUGUAAGUUGUGAGAGUGAAAAGUGUGAAUAUGGGAAUCAUGGUAAUAUAUACAAGUUCAAAAACGCAUGCAAAACGACAUUGUUAGGUUAAAGAGGGGACAAAAAUAAUUAUGAUUGCUACAAUUUGAGUUGACAAGCGUGGGGAGAACUAAAUGCAGGUAAUGAUGGUUGCCUAAUCUCAAAAAUAUGCACACUGCUUGAGGGGAUCUCAAUAGUUUGACUCUUGAGUUUUGAGCUAGACAUUUGUCUAGAAGAUCCAAGGUCAUACGUUGGGGAGACCACAUGUUGAUGUUUCUAGAGUCAAGAAUACCAAAAGGUUUCUGACUUAGAAGGUUUCUGAUCCAGAUGUCUUCUAACUUAUAGAAGUAUCAAAACCAGAAUCAGAUAACAACAUAUGUUUACGUCAGAUUCUAGUUUAACAUUAGAGAGGAGAAGCACAUGUUCAGAUUCAUUUUGGGCAAUCUACAAUAUUUAAGUUUUUCAUAAUGAAAAGAAAUUUGUCUUCAGCUAAGGAUUUUGUAAAGAUAUCAUCCCAUUGAUGGUUUGUAUCUAUGAAUUUUUAAAAUAAUUAUCCCUUUCUGAACAUAGUCUCUAAUAAAAUGAUGUUUAAUUUUUAUGUGCUUCACUCUGGAAUGUAAAAUUGGAUUCUUACUUAAACAUAUAGAAGCAAUAUUAUCACAAAAGAUAGGGAUGUUACUCUCAUAAAUCUGAAAGUCCUCAAGCUGAUUCUUCAUCCAGAGCAUCUGAAUACUGCAUAGUGAAGCUAAAAUGUACUAUGCUUCUGCAGUGUACAGUGCAAUGGUUGAUUGUCUUUUGCCUGCCCAUGAGAUGAGAUUUUUUCCCAGAAACUGACAGUUCCCAUAUGUGCUUUUGCGUUCCAUCCUGUCUCCAGCGUAAUCUUCAUCAUAGUACCCAGAAAGCCUAUACUCUGAUGUUUUCUUAUACAUCAAGCCAAGGUUAGAUGUUCCUUUCAGAUACCUGAGGAUUCUCUUAACAGCAGUUACGUGAGAUUCCCUUGGAUCUUACUGAAAUCUAGCACAAAGACAUACGCUGAAUAAUAUAUCUGGAUCCGUAAUAGUUAGAUAGAGGAGAGAACCUAUCAUACCAGAGUAGAGUUUCUGACAAACCUUUUGACUUACCUCUUCUUUCUCUAGAAUGCAAGUAGGAUGCAUUGGAGUCUUGACUGGUUUGCUUUCUGACGUAUUGAAUUUCUUCAUAAGUUUUGGUUGAUUUGAAUCCCCAGAAAGAACUUUAGUUCUUGCAUCAGACUCAUCUCAAAUUUUGACUGCAUUAACUUAGAAAAUUCUUGACAAGUAGAGGGGUUAGCAGAACCAAAUAUUAUGUCAUCAACGUAUAUCUGAAAGAUCAUAAGAUUAUUUCUGAUGUUUUUACAGAAGAGAGUGGAGUCCACUUUGCCUCUGAUAGAAACAUUCUCCAGAAAGAAUGAACUAAGUCUUUCAUACCAAGCUCUGGGAGCUUGUUUCAGACCAUAAAGUGUUUUUUUCAGUUUAAAAAUAUGUUCUGGAAGUUUUGAGUUUUCAAAGCCAGGAGGCUGAUGAACAUACACUUCUUCGGAAAUAUAACCAUUCAGAAAUGCGUUUUUGAUAUCCAUCUGAUAUAACUUAAUGGAAUAAUUUACAGCAAAAGAUACAAGGAUACGAAUAGAUUCUAACCUUGCGACUAAGGCAACGAUUUCAUUGUAGUCAAUGCCUUCCUGUUGACUAUAACCUUGUGCCACAAACUGUGCUUUGUUUCUGACUACUUCACCCUUUUCAUUUAGUUUGUUUUUGUAAACCUAUUUGGUUCCAAUCACAUGGGUUCCCUUUGGUCUUGGUAAAAGAUCCCGAACAUCAUUCUUGGCAAAUUGAUCAAGUUAUUCUUUCAUUUCCAUAAUCCAUUCUUUGUCUUGAAGAGCUUAUUCACAGGAUGUUGGCUCUAUCAGAGAUACUAGUCUCAAAAGUGCUUCUUCAGAGACUUUAAAUGUUAAUCUUGUUCUGACAGGUUCAUUCUUGUUUCCCAGAAUCUGUUCUUCAGAAACAUUUUUCCAUAAUUCAUUCUUUGUUUUCACGUCUUUGUUUAACCAUUUCUUCUCUACUGUCAUAAAAAAGGUAAUGUUGGUUAGAAAGUACACUACUACUCCUUAAAAUAAGAUGAUCCCUAAUCUCUAUAUCGCUAGGGGACCCACCAUGUGCCUCCCUAAAAACACUUGUAAAAAAGCAAGCUCAUUGCUCAUCUCGAGCCGUUAUAGCAACAUCUAGAUCUGUAUAAGACCUGGUGAAGGAAGCAAGACAGGAAACCACCUCCCUAAAAUUAAAAUUGUUGGAGUUCCCCAUAUUAUUUUCAUCGGAAAAGUCUUUAGUACUUCCUUUAAUAGAAGCAUUGAAGGUUCCUUCACCACUCUCUAUCAAAUCUCCUCCAGAUCUAGAACUAUCACUAAGUACAGUAAAAUUGGUGUUUGAAUGGUUAAGUUUUAUGGGAACGACGUCUGGAACAUCUAGAUUCUCAUAUAUUGCUGAUAAUGGAAACUCUCGUCUAUGAAGGUCAUUCAUUACAUUCUUAAGAAUAUUUUCUAUGUUCACCAUAAUGAGUAUAAGAAAGCUAAGCAACAAAUGUAAGGGAAAAGGGGUUAGAAAUGAUACCUCCGUAAGAAGCUAAGUGAAGGAACAAUUAAGAACAAGAGAAACUUGAGAACAAGGAUGAAUCGAGAAAAAUGGAUCCGAAACAAAAAGAAAAGAUGGCAAGAUUAGGAGUCACUGAAGCUUAUGGAUAAAAGGUUUGUAGAGAAAUAUUAGCUUUAGUAAUGAGAGGAAAUAAAAAUUGUUUGAAAGGUCGAGAUAACAUUUAUAUAAGGAAACAAGGUAGGUGAAUCAAUGUUGCAGAAUGAAAAAAAAAAGACAAGACAAGAAAAUUAGCGGUUAUCACCUCAAAAAUAUAACAAAACAUGAGUGUACUUGAGCACUCUAGAAGAAAAUGUCACACCCUAACCUAAAAACCUAGGACCACAUAUGAAAGAGAACCUGCAAAACGUCUGAAUGAUAUUACUAUCAUUUAAUGCAGUUGUUCCAUAUCUCUUCCACUUCUCAAUACAAGAUCCCAACUAAACGUACCCGACUCAAUUCCUUGAAAGACUUUUCGUACAUCACACUAUAACAACCAUCGAAGGCAACUGUUAUGGGCUGAUCACAAGUCCAAUAUGUCACAGGCCCAAUGAUUGCUCAUUGAAUAUAAGGUAUAACUAGGGGUGAAAAUGGGUCUGCCCGUCCCAUUAAGGCCCUCUCCGCAAAAGCCCGUAAAAAAUAGGGCGAGCGGGACAGACAUGGUUAAGGGUGUGGACCAAAAACCUUAACCUGGCCCGGACAAACGUACGGGCCCGCGGGCACUACACCUUUUAGGCCUAAAAUGCAUAAAAUUAUGUUAAAGUUCAUGCCCGUAAAUGCUUGCAAAAAUCGGAGCAGGGCGGGGCAGGACAAACAUAUUAGAGGGUGACAAACUAAACUCUUGACCCGUCCCACACUUAAGUGUUGGCAAAACGGGUAUGCCCAAUGGAUUGGGUUUUGUCACCCCUAGUUAUAACCAACGCAUAAACACAAAAAAGAUAUGAUUCUAUUCAUAAUUCACUAUAUUUUGAUAUUCAUGUAUUAGCUUAAGUGUUAAAAUGAUAAUCAUAAAAGUCUUUCAAAAUGACUGUCGUUUUAGUAAAAAAAAUAUUUUAAAAUGAAUGUCAUUCUCACUUUUUAAUGUAGAAAUGAUUCCUAUUUUUUUAAUUUUGUCAUUUAAUUAUUAUUACUUUGUACACUGCUUUUAACAUAUUUAUAAGGUUAAUUUAAUAAAAGUAUAAUAUCUUACAAUAAGGGGUGUUCGCGGCCAAUUUGAUUCGAUUUUGGGAGAAUGCGAUGUUCAAACCGAUAAAAAAAAUAUAUGAUUUGGUUUGGAUUUGAUUUAUACAUUUUUGUGAUAAAGUCCAAACCGAACCAAACCAAUAAACAAAGGGUUAAUUUAGGUUGGUUUGAUCAGAUCCAUAUGUGUAUAAAAAUAUUCUUAAACAAUAUCUAAUCUACAUCAACUAAUUUUCCAAAAUAAUGUAAAAUUCUUAAAUUUUUUAGUUUUCUAUAUUGGUUGUGAAUAUCACAAAUGACAUUUUUUUCUUUUUCUUGAAGUUGAAUACCUUAUUCUAGUUUCUAUGAUUAUAAUGAUAUACGUUAAUUAUGAUUGAUUCGGGUGGAUGAAUAUGUUGAUAGAAUUUUUGAAUCUGUUAUCCGAUUUAAUUAACAUCGAAUUUCAUUGGUUUGAUUCGAACUUUUCUCAAACUAUAAAAUACUCGAACUAAAUAUCAUGGUUUAAUUUAAAUUUCGAUUUGAUUCAAAUGUUCUUUAACACGUAAAUAAAAAAAAAAAACAAUAUUAUUACAUUUAUUAAUCCUUAACCUGUGUGCCAAAACUUUAAAUGGAAAUUUAUUUUAAAACGGAAGAGUAAUCUAAACCACAUAAUCAUAAAUCCGCAUGAAGAAACAAACACUAUCUUACAAAUUUUGUACUAGUACUAAAGUUCAACUCGGAUUUAAAACCGAGUCUAGAAAGUAGUUCCAUGAAGAAGUAAAGUUUAGCGACAGAGUAGUAAUUAAUUUACCUCGAAAAGAGCAUAGUAUGACAUAAGCAGAGAUUUACGUGGUUGGGGCUGGUCUUGACGAUUCUUGUUGGGGUCAGUGAUAGUCGUAGUCAUAAAUUUUCACUGCAACAUCAUCGUGUUCAUAAAUACUGUAGUAAAAGCCUUAAUGCAUGGCUGAUGGUUGGUGUAGUUAGUAAAAUAAGAUGGUAGAUACAGUAGUGAGUAAUUGUACACUGUGAAGAUAGAAUAGAUUUGUUGGAGAAUAAAAAGAGAUGUCAUUGUUAUAGAAAAAGACAGAAAGGAAAGGAGAAAAAA
RNAcentral lists this long non-coding RNA (11692 nucleotides) under Lathyrus oleraceus (garden pea). RNAcentral describes it as "Pisum sativum (pea) long non-coding RNA (PSAT_LNC001101)". Lineage: Eukaryota; Viridiplantae; Streptophyta; Magnoliopsida; Fabales; Fabaceae. The record is from RNAcentral.